This 575-nucleotide long non-coding RNA is filed under the name Bemisia tabaci. RNAcentral's name for it is "lncRNA ENSSSA2NGG009378". The record is from RNAcentral. Lineage: Eukaryota; Metazoa; Arthropoda; Insecta; Hemiptera; Aleyrodidae.
UCCUUUUUUGAGCAUCAUAUUAAUUUUGUGUUUUUCAAUAUUUUCCCUCGUAGAGAAAAUCAAACAGAAAAUGAACAAUUACAAGCAGACUACUUGGAGCGCCUAAAAUAGCAGAAAGUAGGCUUGCUGAAUCUGCCAAUCAAGCUCUACAAAAGAACAAAUGUACAACAGCAGCUCAAAAUGAUGUAACAUCAAAUGGCAAAUCAGAAUGUUGUACAAAUAAAACAAAAGAAGUGGUUGAAUUAAGUGAUGAUGACCUUGAGGAAGAUGCUGACGUUUUUAAAUCUCCGCAAAAGAAGAAAGUUAAAAUUGUAUCCCCAACUGAAAUAAUGUGUGACAAGCAAUGUUUGAAUGAAAAAAUGGGACGAAUCAAGAAAGCAAAGAAGAUUCUGCUGCAGCUGCCUUCAAUGCUGUUCAAAAUCAAUGUCCAGAUGAAGUUUCCGUUCCUAAACCCAAGUUUACCAGACCCCCAAAAUUUAUUUUGGUACCCGGACCCACAAGCAGAUAGAGCAAAUUAUAAAAGAACUGAAGAAAACAGCGUACAAAGACAUCAGAAUGACUAUUCUAUCAAGUAG